ACUCAACACUAUUUAUUUAAAAAGGGUGAGUCUAAGCUAGUAAAGCGUGCCGUAUGAUUGUUUUUUUAUAGAACAGUGUGUCGGAUACUUGAUCAGCCAGUUAGCCCUAAACUUGUUUACAAGGAGUUU
RNAcentral lists this small RNA (129 nucleotides) under Flavobacteriaceae bacterium. RNAcentral's name for it is "6S RNA". It matches the Rfam family "6S-Flavo RNA". The record is from RNAcentral. Lineage: Bacteria; Pseudomonadati; Bacteroidota; Flavobacteriia; Flavobacteriales; Flavobacteriaceae.